GCCUGACUGGCUUAGUUGGUAGAGCACGUGACUCUUGAUCUCGGGGUCAUGAGUUCAAGCUCCCUGUUGGGUG
RNAcentral lists this transfer RNA (73 nucleotides) under Mustela putorius furo (domestic ferret). It matches the Rfam family "tRNA". Rfam says of the family: Transfer RNA (tRNA) molecules are approximately 80 nucleotides in length. Their secondary structure includes four short double-helical elements and three loops (D, anti-codon, and T loops). Lineage: Eukaryota; Metazoa; Chordata; Mammalia; Carnivora; Mustelidae. The record is from Rfam by way of RNAcentral.